AACGAACGCUGGCGGCAUGCCUAACACAUGCAAGUCGAACGAGACCUUCGGGUCUAGUGGCGCACGGGUGCGUAACGCGUGGGAACCUGCCCUUAGGCUCGGAAUACCUCUCCGACAGGGGUGCUAAUACCGGAUAAUGUCCUCUGACCCAAGAUACAUCGCCUUUGGAUGGGCCCGCGUUGGAUUAGCUAGUUGGGAGCGUAAAAGCCUACCAAGGCGACGAUCCAUAGCUGGUCUGAGAGGAAGGUCAGCCACUCUGGGACUGGGACACGGCCCAGACUCCUACGGGAGGCAGCAGUGGGGAAUAUUGGACAAUGGGCGAAAGCCUGAUCCAGCAAUGCCGCGUGAGUGAUGAAGGCCUUAGGGUUGUAAAGCUCGUUUAUCCGGGAUGAUAAUGACGGUACCGGGAGAAUAAGCUCCGGCUAACUCCGUG
Molecule: ribosomal RNA, 433 nt
Filed under: uncultured bacterium
Lineage: Bacteria
Description: partial 16S ribosomal RNA
Rfam family: Bacterial small subunit ribosomal RNA
Source: RNAcentral